RNAcentral lists this transfer RNA (73 nucleotides) under Rubrobacter xylanophilus DSM 9941. RNAcentral's name for it is "tRNA-Ala (CGC) (tRNA-Ala-CGC-1-1)". It matches the Rfam family "tRNA". From Rfam's summary of the family: Transfer RNA (tRNA) molecules are approximately 80 nucleotides in length. Their secondary structure includes four short double-helical elements and three loops (D, anti-codon, and T loops). RNAcentral also lists the same sequence under 2 other names. The record is from Rfam by way of RNAcentral. Lineage: Bacteria; Bacillati; Actinomycetota; Rubrobacteria; Rubrobacterales; Rubrobacteraceae.
GGGCCCGUAGCUCAGUUGGGAGAGCGCCGCCUUCGCAUGGCGGAGGUCACGAGUUCGAGUCUCGUCGGGUCCA